CCUACGGGAGGCUGCAGUGGGGAAUAUUGGACAAUGGGCGAAAGCCUGAUCCAGCCAUGCCGCGUGUGUGAAGAAGGCCUUCGGGUUGUAAAGCACUUUCAGUGGGGAAGAAAGCCUUGGGGCUAAUACCCUCGAGGAAGGACAUCACCCACAGAAGAAGCACCGGCUAACUCCGUGCCAGCAGCCGCGGUAAUACGGAGGGUGCGAGCGUUAAUCGGAAUUACUGGGCGUAAAGCGCGCGUAGGCGGUCUGAUAAGCCGGUUGUGAAAGCCCCGGGCUCAACCUGGGAACGGCAUCCGGAACUGUCAGGCUAGAGUACAGGAGAGGAAGGUAGAAUUCCCGGUGUAGCGGUGAAAUGCGUAGAGAUCGGGAGGAAUACCAGUGGCGAAGGCGGCCUUCUGGACUGACACUGACGCUGAGGUGCGAAAGCGUGGGUAGCAAACAGGAUUAGAUACCCGGGUAGUC
Molecule: ribosomal RNA, 465 nt
Filed under: Vreelandella stevensii
Lineage: Bacteria; Pseudomonadati; Pseudomonadota; Gammaproteobacteria; Oceanospirillales; Halomonadaceae
Description: partial 16S ribosomal RNA
Rfam family: Bacterial small subunit ribosomal RNA
Source: RNAcentral